AAGACUAUAGACCUGCGGAGUACCUGCGGAGGGAUCAUUACAGAGUUGCAAAACUCCCAAACCAUUGUGAACGUUACCUUCUCGUUGCUUCGGCGGGCGGCCCGGGUCCUUCCCGGCGCCCCCCGGCCCCUCGCGGGCGCCCGCCGGAGGUAAACCAAACUCUUGAAUUGUAUGGCCUCUCUGAGUCUUCUGUACUGAAUAAGUCAAAACUUUCAGCAACGGAUCUCUAGAUCGGAAGAG
RNAcentral lists this unclassified non-coding RNA (240 nucleotides) under soil metagenome. RNAcentral describes it as "partial contains 5.8S ribosomal RNA, internal transcribed spacer 2, and large subunit ribosomal RNA". The record is from RNAcentral.